GACGAACGCUGGCGGCGUGCUUAACACAUGCAAGUCGAACGGAAAGGCCCUGCUGUUGUGGGGUGCUCGAGUGGCGAACGGGUGAGUAACACGUGAGUAACCUGCCCUUGACUUUGGGAUAACUUCAGGAAACUGGGGCUAAUACCGGAUAGGAGCUCCUGCUGCAUGGUGGGGGUUGGAAAGUUUCGGCGGUUGGGGAUGGACUCGCGGCUUAUCAGCUUGUUGGUUGGGUAGUGGCUUACCCAGGCGUUGACGGGUAGCCGGCCUGGGGGGGUGCCCGGUAACAUUGGAACUAUGUUACGGACCAGUCUCCUACGGGAGACAGCAGUCGGGAAUAUUGCACAGCGGGCUCACGCCUGAGGCAGCAACGCCGCGUGCGGGAUGACGGCCUUCGGGUUGUAAACCGCUUUCGCCUGUGACGAAGCGUGAGUGACGGUAAUGGGUAAAGAAGCACCGGCUAACUACGUG
This 468-nucleotide ribosomal RNA is filed under the name uncultured bacterium. RNAcentral's name for it is "partial 16S ribosomal RNA". It matches the Rfam family "Bacterial small subunit ribosomal RNA", at positions 28 to 507 of the family's 1533-position model. The record is from RNAcentral.